Molecule: ribosomal RNA, 211 nt
Filed under: Synura petersenii
Lineage: Eukaryota; Synurophyceae; Synurales; Mallomonadaceae
Description: partial 18S ribosomal RNA
Rfam family: Eukaryotic small subunit ribosomal RNA
Source: RNAcentral
UCGCAUGGAUUACGUCCCUGCCCUUUGUACACACCGCCCGUCGCACCUACCGAUUGAAUGAUUCGGUGAAAAUUCUGGACUGUGGCUCGGACGCCUUCGGGCGACCUUGCUGUGGGAAGUUAUUUAAACCUCAUCAUUUAGAGGAAGGUGAAGUCGUAACAAGGUUUCCGUAGGUGAACCUGCGGAAGGAUCAUUACCACACCCUCAAAUA